Etheostoma cragini (Arkansas darter) is the source of this 97-nucleotide long non-coding RNA. RefSeq lists it as uncharacterized. The transcript is spliced from 3 exons. The record is from RefSeq and is a predicted model, not a curated record. NCBI's taxonomy places the organism in Eukaryota, Metazoa, Chordata, Actinopteri, Perciformes, Percidae.
ACUGGAUACGAGAAGAAGGACGUUCCACAUUAUUACGCAGGUCACAGGUUUCAAGCAAUUUGGGAAAGAAAAAGGAUCUUUCUACUGCGGAAAAGCG